ACUUUUAUUCCUGUAUUGCAAUAGCUUUUGCAUUGGUAUCUAGGUACAACAGGGUAUAUUAGCUAACAUAGAUAAUACAAGAGUUAUAAAAUAGAUAGAUCGGCUUAGUAUAUUGGGAUUAAACAAUUUAGGUUUUGAAAUAUUGUUUUUACAUUCGUCAAACAUUUGAAAUAGCCGGGACAAAGUCUGGACAGUUUAAUUUUAG
Molecule: non-coding RNA, 205 nt
Organism: Pelobates cultripes (western spadefoot toad)
Lineage: Eukaryota; Metazoa; Chordata; Amphibia; Anura; Pelobatidae
Source: the annotation of a GenBank genome assembly